ACUCCUACGGGAGGCAGCAGUGGGGAAUUUUGCGCAAUGGGCGAAAGCCUGACGCAGCAACGCCGCGUGAGUGAUGAAGGCUUUCGGGUCGUAAAGCUCUGUCAAUGGGAAAGAAGUGUAUUGUGGCUAAUAUCCACGAUACUUGACGGUACCCAUAAAGGAAGCACCGGCUAACUCCGUGCCAGCAGCCGCGGUAAUACGGGGGGUGCAAGCGUUGUUCGGAAUUAUUGGGCGUAAAGCGCGUGUAGGCGGUUUGUUAAGUCUGUUGUGAAAGCCCUGGGCUCAACCCAGGAAGUGCACUGGAUACUGGCAGACUUGAAUACGGGAGAGGGUAGUGGAAUUCCUGGUGUAGGAGUGAAAUCCGUAGAUAUCAGGAGGAACACCGGUGGCGAAGGCGGCUACCUGGACCGAUAUUGACGCUGAGACGCGAAAGCGUGGGUAGCAAACAGGAUUAGAUACCCUGGUAGUCCACGCCGUAAACGAUGAGAACUAGGUGUUGCGGGUA
RNAcentral lists this ribosomal RNA (505 nucleotides) under uncultured Geobacter sp. RNAcentral describes it as "bacterial SSU rRNA". It matches the Rfam family "Bacterial small subunit ribosomal RNA", at positions 335 to 831 of the family's 1533-position model. The record is from RNAcentral. Lineage: Bacteria; Pseudomonadati; Thermodesulfobacteriota; Desulfuromonadia; Geobacterales; Geobacteraceae.